RNAcentral lists this RNase P RNA (447 nucleotides) under Candidatus Vogelbacteria bacterium. RNAcentral describes it as "RNase P RNA component class A". It matches the Rfam family "Bacterial RNase P class A". Rfam says of the family: Ribonuclease P (RNase P) is a ubiquitous endoribonuclease, found in archaea, bacteria and eukarya as well as chloroplasts and mitochondria. Its best characterised activity is the generation of mature 5'-ends of tRNAs by cleaving the 5'-leader elements of precursor-tRNAs. The record is from RNAcentral. Lineage: Bacteria; Candidatus Vogeliibacteriota.
GAGCCUGGUCGGAUAGUUGCCCCGCCAGUAGUGGGGAGGAAAGUCCGAACAUCCUUGAUCUUUGAUUUAGAAGUACGUCGUGGGUAACGCCCACCCAGUUGUAUGUGAAUACAAUUGAGGGACAGUGCCACAGAGACAAUACUACCCGCCAAUAUCUUUUAAGGUUGUGGCGGGGAAAGGUGAAAAGUCUAUGGAGGUUUACGCCACCAUAGAGAAUCCGUAGCGAUACGGAUACUUGGUAAACCCGACGUGAUGCAAGGCCGUGAUAAUUUAGAGGUUGGAGAUUUGAGGUGGGAAGUUGGAUAAUCUAAUUUCUAACUUCCCACCUCCAACUUCUACUUUGUAGUGCCGCUUGACCCCGAGAGUAAUCGAGGGGCUUAGAUAAAUAACUAUCGUCCAGACUAAAACGUCUGGAUACAGAAUUCGGCUUAUAGAUCAGGCAAACAA